Molecule: transfer RNA, 77 nt
Filed under: Acidobacteriota bacterium
Lineage: Bacteria; Pseudomonadati; Acidobacteriota
Also listed under: 1 other name
Description: Acidobacteria bacterium tRNA-Val
Rfam family: tRNA
About the family: Transfer RNA (tRNA) molecules are approximately 80 nucleotides in length. Their secondary structure includes four short double-helical elements and three loops (D, anti-codon, and T loops). Further hydrogen bonds mediate the characteristic L-shaped molecular structure. tRNAs have two regions of fundamental functional importance: the anti-codon, which is responsible for specific mRNA codon recognition, and the 3' end, to which the tRNAs corresponding amino acid is attached (by aminoacyl-tRNA synthetases). tRNAs cope with the degeneracy of the genetic code in two manners: having more than one tRNA (with a specific anti-codon) for a particular amino acid; and 'wobble' base-pairing, i.e. permitting non-standard base-pairing at the 3rd anti-codon position.
Source: RNAcentral
GGGCGUGUAGCUCAGUUGGUUAGAGCGCUUCCUUCACACGGAAGAGGCCCGGGGUUCGAGUCCCUGCACGCCCACCA